ACCUGGAAACUUAGUGUGAGAAACUACUAGUGGAUCCUGUGGGUCAGGAAUUUGGAGACUGCAUGGUGGGGAUGGCUCCUCUUUGCUCUACCAUGUCUGAGGCCCAAGCUGGGACAUCUGACUGGUGGUAAUUCAUUCUUACAUCUUGACAGGUAUGUGGGUUGUCAACUGGGUCCUCAGUUCCUCUCCGGAUGGCUAGUUGGACUUCCUCACAGCAUGGUGGCUGGGUUCCCAGGAUGAGUCCUCAAAGAGCCCGAAGGAAGCUACAUGCUAUUUAUGACCUCACCUUGGCCUCCCCACAGCAUCUCCGCUGCCAGGCUCUCCUCCACUCUACAGUUAGCUUUAGGAAUGCUUCACAUGCACCAUGUCUAGUUGACUGUGCGUCUCGCAGCUUCGUUGUGACAUGGGAAAGCUUGGCACUGCCAUUCCUGCUUUGCAGCUGAGACUCAUGCAUGUUAAAGAACUUGCUUACUGUUCUAACAAUUGAGAAACGUAAGCCAGAUCCCAGUCCUUCAUUUGCAUACUCCAGUUCCAGUGCUUUUAUGUCUUCAUUAUUUUCCAUUCAUUACACAUUUAUAUUUCCUACCAUUUCCAGGAACUGUAUUAGGCACAGUGAAAUGAAAACUGAUUAAGACGCAGUUUCAUCUUUGUAAUAGCUGGCAUUCUAGUGAGAUGAAAGACUGGAGACUUGAUUGGCAUGAUAUCACCUGCCAGAUGCUGGAAUGGCGACGUGGACACUUGGAUGGAAUCGCUUGUGCUGCUUUGGGCUGUGGGGGAAACAGGGAGCAUCACUGAGUGGGUCUGAAGCAUCUCAGUGGAUGAGUAAAUGUGUUUGGGCAAACGGAAGUGGAAGGAGGUUUAAACCUACAGCAUUUACAAAGCAACUGGUAUUUGAUGGCCAGUAAGAAAGGCAAUGUGUUAGGAUCAGAGGAAUGCUCAGGAAGAUGGAGGAGAUGAGAAAAAGAAUAGAUAAUUCGCCCUGAUUUGAGGUGAGCCAUGUCCAGUGCAUUUAAGGCCUUGGAAUUUACCCCAUAAAUCAGCGUUUCUCAAACUGAGCUGUGUGGAAUACUGCAGACCACCCAUGGAUCUACUCUCAGAAAUCUGUGCGCUCUUUCCAGUUUUUAAUACCGGUGAUAUUUUAAAAUGAAGUAUUACAAGUCUAUUCUGCAUCAUCUGGAGAGCCAGCUCAGACCAAGGGGACAGGAGACCACACUCACCUGAUUCCAGCGCCAUAGGCAUUUUCUAUUGAGGAUUGCUUCCAUGCCAAGGAAGGCACAGUGAUGUCAUGAAGAGGCUUCACAGUAGUUUGAAAGGAGAAGAGGAGGGUGAAAAUAAAGUCAUCACCUUGAACAAGGUGAUCAGGCUGUCGGCAUCCAUAGAACUCAUCUCAUUUGUCAUGUCGUAGUCACGUGAAUGGAUGUUCUUGGCACAGCCUGUCUUGUCUUGUUACCUCAUAAUGGUUUAUUAGCAGAAAGUGUUGGAGAAACUAUUGAAGAAUUUUUUAUUUUACUUGCAGAAAUAAUUAUCUUAGAAAUCUAAUGUAGAUUUAAGUAACAGCAAAACGGCUAUUGUAUUUUCAAGUGAACAAGUCAACUUGACUAAUUUAUCAACUAACAUUUCAAUAAAAGUGAUUUUUGAGGAUGGGUGACUGGCAUGUUUGGCUAACUAUGAGAUGUGAUUGUUGAAAACUAAUGAACAAAACCUUCAAGAGCUUAUUAUUCUUUCGUUUACCAAGCAUUCUUAAUGGUAUUAUUAUUAACAAAUAAAGCUAAACAUUAAAUAUAGAAUUGGACCUGAAGCCACAUUUUUAUCCUUAUUAUCAGUCAUUUAGAAUAAAACAACAUCAUCG
Molecule: long non-coding RNA, 1849 nt
Filed under: Papio anubis (olive baboon)
Lineage: Eukaryota; Metazoa; Chordata; Mammalia; Primates; Cercopithecidae
Description: lncRNA (ENSPANG00000049653.1)
Source: RNAcentral